UGUCUUUAAGCUGUGGCUAACAUAUUGCUUUGGGAAAUUAUGAAAUACCCAUUUCUUUUAAGAACAUACAUAUAAUGCAUGAAAUUUUGGAAAUGAAUUGUAUAACUGUGGUCAUAUUCUUAGACUAAGUUUCAGCAUCUUUGGGGAACUAUGAGAAGUUGUAUGCAAUUUAGUUCAAAUUAGGAAAAAAAAAAAAGAUCAGAGUUCAGUUUCACAUGUUAACAGACGUACCACUCUAAGAAAAUCCUAACAUAGGAAAAAAAUAACUCACAGAAUAGAUAAACUGGAAAUUGGUUAAUUGCAUUUUUAAAAAAAAAAUGAAUUCUUUACUUUAUAAAAAGGUCCCCAGGGUUUCUUUAUGUGCUCAGCUUUCCUGGUGCAUUUAUAUGUCUGAUUAUAGAUCAUUAAGCACUUGAUGAAAUGGCUGGGGAAAAAAAGAGAAGGAAAAAUUGCUAAAGGUUUGGGAACCAAUACUAAUUACAAAACAAUUUAGAAAUGAUAAUACCUUUCUAAAUUUAAAAGGUGAACGAAUGGGAAUAUAUCACUUGAAUCACCCAAAUUUUAUUUAAAUAAUUUUGUGAAAGACACCGUUGGUAACCUAAAAUUCUUUGUUGCCCAAAUUGAUAAAGUGUUUCAUCCAUCCAUUCGGUACAUAUUUAUUGGAUGUUUAAUGUGUUCCAGGCACUGUGCAGAUCAAUGACCAGCAAAACCAAACACAGUUUCUAACCUCAUAGAGUAUUCACUCUAGCGCUCAUCAAUUUUAUUUUGAAGUUUUAUGUGGCUAGCAAAUGUAAAAUGAUAAUGAAAGAUAAGUUCCCCUUUUAAAAACGUACUCAAGCAUUUCCGUGUGAUAACUUCUUUGCCUUAUGUAGUGUAUCUUCUUUAUACACUUUCUGAAAUAUAUUAUUGUAAUGAAUGAUUAUUACUUUCUGGGUUAUUUGUAAAAGAUAAAGGGAAAAGUUUUUCUUAAUUUGGUUCUUGGCAUAUUUAUAUGGAUGUUUUGAGGCUCUGGAAAUGGCAAUUAUCAUAAAUAUCCCAACUGGCACAUUUUAUUAGCGUGAGUUCACAUAACAUAGAUGAAUCAACCUGACAUUUUUUCCUUUAGCUGUUUGGUCACCAUAAUAAUUGGUUCUAUUACAGGUAAGGUAGUGUGAUCUUAAUUUUCUUUGGUAGAUUUGAGUGAUUGAAUUUAAUCAGUGAAUUUUGAGUUGAAGAUCUAUUUCAGAUUUUAAAAUUCUCUCAUUUUUAUGAGGAUUUCUCUGCUUAAUGAAUUUAAUAAAAGUAAGUAAUCUAUUAAUAAUUUACAUAUAGUUACUUAUUCAUGUGCAAGUGGUGUUACAACUCUAAAUUCUGUUUAUAUAAAUGAUCCAUAGGAACUUGUUCUAAUUCAUUUAUUUUUACUCUGAUUACAACUUUUAGUUGAGCAAAUAUUGAACUUUAUUAAUCCCACCUGUGUAUCUUGGUGGGUAAUAAUAUGUAUUGGCACAUGUAUUUAAGAUUCUUCAGGCUUUGAACAAAAAUGUUGCCAUGGGAACCUGAUUUCAUAGCCCAUAGUCCUUUGCAGAACUACACCUGCCUUAUGGUAGAGGUUUCCAUGGCAACAUUUUUGUUCGGGGAACAUAGAACUUGAACAGAAUAUGCCACGAGUCUCUUUUAAAUGUGUGCGUUGAUAGUUGUGAUAUUACUAUAGUUAAUGUGUGUAUUAGAAAUACAGGUGGCCCCAUGGUGGGCUCAGUGUUGUUCUUGCUUUCAGUGAAUAGAUUCCCGGUGAGUUUAGCUGUCGCGAUGCAUUGGAUUAGGAAAUUAAAGCAAUUUCUGGUCUCUUUUCACUGUCUCUCCACCUUCCACUCAUUUGACCCUCCUGCUAGAAUGUGGUGAAAUAAUCCUCCAUGGCUAGCAUGCCCAGAAUGAUCAUUUGUGAUAAUGCAGAGCUGUAAGAAAGAGAUGUGUAACUAAUGUCUGGCCAAGCUCAGCAGGCUCUAUUUUAAAGGGCAGCAUCAAUCUCGGGAGCCUCUAAUGCUACAGAAUAUGCUACUAAUGGUCCUUCAACUUCCUCACAUAUACUUUUCUCCAAAGAAGGUCAUGAGCUCCAAUAACAAAGCAUCCUGAGGACGGGGUAAGAUUUAGUUUUCGUAUUUCUGAUCCACGGUCUGGUCUCUUCAUCUUUUAUAUUUACUUUUGGCAUUCAAAAAGUUGACGAUGCCUAAAUUAAGGUGGCCCAAGUUUUUUCUUUGCUCGCCACUCAUUUAUGUCAUGUUUCAUUUAUAACUAAGGUUGUAUAGGAAGAGCAUGCCACGGCCCUGCAACAGAUAAACCAGGGUUAUCACUGUUGCGUUAUUAUGGUUCUAUCCGCUGUUAGAUGCAUCCUCAUGUGUCAGGACUGUGAUCUUAUUGCUGCCAGGUAUGCUGGCCUAUUGCUGUUUCUUGGCAGGUCUUAAAACAUGCAGCAGUGGAUUUUGCAGCAGCCUAAGCUGCUGCUCACAGUCCACGAAAGAGCUGAAUGGGGGCUAUUAUUAAUGCCAAUCAUCCUCUACCCACAAGGGUAGCAAAGGGACUUUUAGAGACCACAGGGCAGCUUUCAGCAGAAACCCUAAUCAGAUCAUCUUCCUUGAUCAGGGAAGGGAAUGUAGGAAAAUGAGGUGGGUUAAAGGAAUUAGAACAAGUAAAUGCCUUCUGAACGCAUUCAGGACAAAUUAGCUCAGAGUGCAAAUAGAGAUUGAUUUGUCUGAUUGAAACAUAACUUAAAAGCCCGAGGUCAGGCUUCUGCCAACUUAAGGCCUUAGAAAGUUAAACAGAGGAGUGUGAAAAACACAUUUAUUUAUAAAAAGGAAGGAAGAGGGGGUUGGGGGGGUGGAGAAGGGAAUGGUGGGAAGAAGGGAAAGAGAGAGGGAAGAACAGUAAGCCCAGGCAUAGUGAAAUAAUAAAACUCAGGAAGUUGAUCUAGAGAAUUGUCCUUAUAGGGUGUUGGGAAAAAAAAAAAAAUUAGGUGAGUUUCAGUAAGAGGAAGAUGCAAUGAAUGUAGCGGGUCUGUCCGAGAUCAGGAAUCAGACCGUCUUGGUCACUAACUUACAUGUAACCUUGGAUUUAUUACUUGAGUCACCUUUCUGUAAAUUAAAUGAUGAGGCCAGCGUUAACUCUGUGUCCAUGAAUGUAUGUGUAAGUACAGUGGACAAGGCUCCCAGGAACCUUUUUGUCUCCUGAACAACUUCUUGGAGUAGACCCGCUCGACCUUUAUUUUCUGAGCAUUAUAAUGAGCUUUCAUUUGAAGAAUGUGCUUCCUGGAUUAUAAGAAGUUAUAAAACCAUCAGAACUACUGAUUUCCUAAAUUCUGCCCAGAGCUAAUAUUCCAUUCUAAGCCCCAAUCUCUACUAAGUUUAUAAAAUGAUGGCUUUUAACCAUUGUUGACUCUAGUUAUGAGAAUGUUGAGCUCAUGGUCAUUGCUCAAUCAAUAUUUCUUGAGUUGAACUGAAUUGAAGGUCAUCAAUCCUGGAAAUGGACUGGGCAGAUUCUUUUCCUAAAAUGUCAAAGAAAUGAUUUGAAUCAAUGGGAAGGCAGGCAACGCCUAAACAAAUCACAACCCUGCCUUCGCACCAACAGGGUUUGGCCACUUUGGGAGGAUCUUGUGCAGCUUUGGUCACUGAACCUUAAAAUUCAGAGGAAGCUGGAGUCCUUAAAAUCCAUGGAAGUUGAAAAAAGAAAGCUAUUAUAACCAUAGCAAGAAUAGGCAGAGGAAUGAGUGCCUGCCGGGUGUAUCAGAGGAGGACAGAGUAACCCAUCAAGUCUUUAGCCCUUGAAGUAUGAAGACUGAGGAAGCUAACAUCAAAGUCGAAAACCUGUGAGGAAUAUGAAUAUGAUAACACAAAUAUAUUCAUCCAACCCUGAACUGUAAUUACAGGGGAACCCACUUUCCUUGCAACUUUAGACAGAUGAAUUUGGGGUCAAGAGGAAGUACUGCUUUGCAUAUAAAGUCAUUCACUGAUGGGGUUAGUUACUCUGGGCAUGUAAAACUCGGACCCAGCGGGGUGCAUGUAGGAGGUUGAUUAUUUGGGCUCCUGCCUCCUGCAGUUUUCAGUGUGUGACCUCCUGGCUCCGGUGCCCGAGGUGGGUGGUAGGGAAUGUGUGACUCCCAGAUUUUGCCAGAUGGAGUGUUAUCCUACUAAGAUGGUCUUCUCCUCAGUCACAAGGUGUGGGCUUGAUGCACGGAAUAGUCUUAGCUUCCGUGCCUGAUCUCCAAUUAAACUUGAGAAGGGAGAGGCAAGUUCUCCCACUCUUUUUUUCCUGAAAUGUGUGCUAUUUUUUCUAACAGAAACAAACAAACAAACGUGAUAAUCUGUCUCCAAAGUAUACAAAUGUGUACUUUGGAGGCAAGUACAUGAAUGCAUAUAUUUAUGUAACAUGUGUCUGCACAUAUAGAUCACAAGAGCAACAUUCCCUAGUGGUCCACCAAGAGCCCCAUGAUGCCUGCAUGUUCUCCAGGUGGGCGAGGAUGGAGACAGCACACUUCAGGGAAAGGCAGCCUUGUGUGUUAAAGCUCAGCCUGUGAGGCUGCCUUGGAGGUUCUCAUUCCAAGGAGUUGCAGGUGGUUCUAUCCGGGCAGCCAGACCUUCGGGUGAGAUGAGCUGUGCCAGAGGGCAAAGGCAAAGCAUAAUAUGGUUGAUGACCUAUGUAGAUUUCAGAUAGUGGGGGGCCCUGGUUGCUCUGUUAUAAAUGGGUUUAUUAUUUCAUAAGUAAUGGGACACCCCUGAAGGAUUUUAAGCAUAAGAUGAACAAAAUGAGAUUUGCCUUUGAAGAGGCUCCUUCCGGGAAGCUGGAUGGAGAGGGGCUGGCUUGCAACAGUGACGGCCAAGAGGUCUGCGGGUUUAGAGGUGAUGUGUUAAUAUAGGAGAGAAUAAAAGGGUCUGAAUCUACAACAGUCACGACUGGCAUGAGGGAAGAGAUGCCGGGGGCUUGUGGAGUCUCUUUUUACUCUACUCUCGCCCAAUGAGCUCUUGCCAUUUACACGUUGUCUUAUUAAGUGGAGGAUGUUGUCAUGGAAGACGGGCAGAUGGGCGAAGUUUGUUGAUUUAUUCCUCCUGCUGCUCUCAUUGCCUCCUCCUUUACUACUUGUUAAAUUUCAUUCAAGUCUUCUAGGUAAGGG
This 5137-nucleotide long non-coding RNA is filed under the name Sus scrofa (pig). RNAcentral's name for it is "lncRNA (ENSSSCG00000060051.1)". Lineage: Eukaryota; Metazoa; Chordata; Mammalia; Artiodactyla; Suidae. The record is from RNAcentral.